Molecule: microRNA precursor, 135 nt
Filed under: Hordeum vulgare
Lineage: Eukaryota; Viridiplantae; Streptophyta; Magnoliopsida; Poales; Poaceae
Description: microRNA MIR1122
Rfam family: MIR1120/MIR1122 microRNA precursor family
Source: RNAcentral
UUAUUACUUUCUUCGUCCAAAAUUCUUGUCUUAGGUUUGUCUAAAAAUGGAUGUAUCUAAAUACUAAGAUGUGACUAGAUACAUUCAUACAUGUAUAAUUCUAAGAUAAGAAUUUUGAGAUGGAGGAAGUAUUAU